This 377-nucleotide ribosomal RNA is filed under the name uncultured bacterium. RNAcentral describes it as "bacterial SSU rRNA". It matches the Rfam family "Bacterial small subunit ribosomal RNA", at positions 30 to 395 of the family's 1533-position model. The record is from RNAcentral.
AUUGAACGCUGGCGGCGUGCUUAACACAUGCAAGUCGAACGCGAAAGGGACUUCGGUCCUGAGUAAAGUGGCGCANGGGUGAGUAACGCGUGGAUAAUCUGCCCUUAUGAUUGGAAUAACAGUUGGAAACGGCUGCUAAUACCGGAUACGCUCAAAAUGAACUUUUUGAGGAAAGAUGGCCUCUGCUUGCAUGCUAUCGCAUAAGGAUGAGUCCGCGUCCCAUUAGCUUGUUGGCGGGGUAACGGCCCACCAAGGCAACGAUGGGUAGCCGAUUUGAGAGGAUGAUCGGCCACACUGGAACUGAAACACGGUCCAGACUCCUACGGGAGGCAGCAGUGGGGAAUAUUGCGCAAUGGGCGAAAGCCUGACGCAGCGAC